GGAUGAGCCCUGUGCGGCGGCGGGCCGGGAACCAUGUCAGGCGGGGAACCGAGCAGCAUUAACCGGAGUUUCGCUGUGCGAUGCAGACAGUUUGUCCGUU
This 100-nucleotide signal recognition particle RNA is filed under the name [Clostridium] innocuum. Its description in RNAcentral is "signal recognition particle sRNA small type". It matches the Rfam family "Bacterial small signal recognition particle RNA". From Rfam's summary of the family: The signal recognition particle (SRP) is a universally conserved ribonucleoprotein involved in the co-translational targeting of proteins to membranes. Archaeal SRP consists of a 7S RNA and homologues of the eukaryotic SRP19 and SRP54 proteins. In most bacteria, the SRP consists of a 4.5S RNA and the Ffh protein (a homologue of the eukaryotic SRP54 protein). Lineage: Bacteria; Bacillati; Bacillota; Clostridia; Eubacteriales; Clostridiaceae. RNAcentral also lists the same sequence under 5 other names. The record is from RNAcentral.